CUGGCCUCAAAUCAGGUAGGGCUACCCGCUGAACUUAAGCAUAUCAAUAAGCGGAGGAAAAGAAACUAACUAGGAUUCCCUUAGUAACGGCGAGUGAACCGGGAUGAGCUCAAAUUUGAAAUCUGGCGUCUUUCAGGCGUCCGAGUUGUAAUCUAUAGAGGCGUUUUCCGCGCCGGACCGCGUCCAAGUCUCUUGGAAUAGAGUAUCAAAGAGGGUGACAAUCCCGUACUUGACGCGACAACCGGUGCUCUGUGAUACGUUCUCAAUGAGUCGAGUUGUUUGGGAAUGCAGCUCUAAAUGGGUGGUAAAUUCCAUCUAAGGCUAAAUAUUGGCGAGAGACCGAUAGCGAACAAGUACCGUGAGGGAAAGAUGAAAAGCACUUUGGAAAGAGAGUUAAACAGCACGUGAAAUUGUUAAAAGGGAAACGAUUGAAGUCAGUCGUGUGGGAAGUAUUCAGCCGUCUCUGGCGGUGUAUUUGCUUCUCACGGGUCAACAUCAGUUUGAUCCGGUAGAAAAAGGCGGGAAGAAGGUGGCACCCUCGGGUGUGUUAUAGCUUCCUGUCAUAUGUGCCGGACCAGACUGAGGAACGCAGCUUGCAGCAAUGCCGGGGUCGCCCACGUACAAGCUUAGGAUGU
RNAcentral lists this ribosomal RNA (635 nucleotides) under Vishniacozyma carnescens. RNAcentral's name for it is "eukaryotic LSU rRNA". It matches the Rfam family "Eukaryotic large subunit ribosomal RNA", at positions 1 to 626 of the family's 3401-position model. Lineage: Eukaryota; Fungi; Basidiomycota; Tremellomycetes; Tremellales; Bulleribasidiaceae. The record is from RNAcentral.